Molecule: ribosomal RNA, 119 nt
Filed under: Amphilophus citrinellus (Midas cichlid)
Lineage: Eukaryota; Metazoa; Chordata; Actinopteri; Cichliformes; Cichlidae
Source: RNAcentral
GCUUACAGCCGUACCACCCUGAGCACACUCAAUCUCGUCUGAUCUCAGAGGUUAAGCAGGGUUGGGCYUGGUUUGUGCUUGGAUGGGAGACCGCCUGAGAAUACCAGGUGCUGUAAGCU